This 40-nucleotide transfer RNA is filed under the name Cautires berembanensis. Its description in RNAcentral is "partial tRNA-Ser". Lineage: Eukaryota; Metazoa; Arthropoda; Insecta; Coleoptera; Lycidae. The record is from RNAcentral.
UUCUAACUUUUUAUAAAGCAUUAACAUGUUUAUGAUUCUA